GUGAAGAAGCCCGAUUGAUAGUGUGCUCAAUCGUGUCAAAGGAUAUCUUCUGCAACAGGAAAUGCUGACCCAUUUUAGCCAUCUCUGUAACCAGUGCUCCUCUGGGAUGAGCGUGGAAAACAUGCUGUGACAUGAAUUGAAGACCACCCGAAAGCUACAUUUCUGAAAUGGCACUUGGUCUAACAAUACCCGCUUCAGAGGAAUGAAGUGCAUGACUUUCCAAUCCAAAGAUGUCCAUGCUAACCACUAUACCAUAUGCUUAUUUAGAGAAGAUGUGUAGGCAAGGACAGUUUGCAGAUGAGGUCUGUGAGCAAUACCUUUUCCCCCUGAUUCAUAACCCUUACUCAUGAUUAUAGUCAAAGAAGAUCAUUUAGUUGUUUAUUACAUAAAGGAACCUGACAUGUUAUUUACAGGAAUAUCCUUACAUUAUACAGUCUUGGUUUUGUUUCUGGUAACUCUGAAACAGUACUGUGUGGUCCAGUGGUUAAAGAAAAGGGCUUGUAACCAGGAGGUCCCCGGUUCAAAUCCCACCUCAGCCACUGACUCAUUGUGUGACCCUGAGCAAGUCACUUAACCUCCUUGUGCUCUGUCUUUCGGGUGAAACGUAAUUGUAAGUGACUCUGCAGCUGAUGCAUAGUUCACACACCCUAGUCUCUGUAAGUCGCCUUGGAUAAAGGCGUCUGCUAAAUAAUAAUAAUAAUAUAAGCCAAUGAGACUCCUUGCAUUGGUUAACCAUGUAAUCUUACCCAGCUGUACAGACCAGAGAUCCAAUCUGCACAGCAGUUGACAUUAGCAAAAUUAAUAUAAACACAUAUAGAUAGAAAGAUAGAUAAAGGUUAAGACACUUGCUUGUGGUGGGCGUAGUCUACAGUAUACACAGAGCCUCCACCCAGUGAUAGAUAGAUAGAUACGUGUGUUACACAAAAUAAACCAAGAACAAAAAAUACAUAUUUUUUCAGUAUCUGCUUGAUAGGUGUGGUGUUUUUUAGGAAGAACUUGACCUCGUUGGUUGUCAUCUGAGCAAUACAUCUGGAAGAGUUCUUUGUAUAACCCGAUUCAUACAUUUUGUCGACAGGCAUUAAGAUUAACAAGCAGGGCAUUAUACAAUAAUUUAAUUUGUACUGUAGAUUGCAUUGUGGCUAUGCAGGGGUAUUCAUUGGUGAUGGGACAUGAGAAUGUGUCUGUUUGCAUUGGGCUGAAACCUUGUUUAGUCAGGUGUGGCUAUUAUCCUUACAUACUUCACUGAUCUCCUAGAAUGCCCUGCUAACUUGAUUGAACCUUGAUCACAUUUUCCUGUAAUUCCCCAGAGUUUAACAAUACACUAUGAAGUCAAUGCUAAUUUAU
Long non-coding RNA from Acipenser ruthenus (sterlet), 1344 nucleotides. RefSeq lists it as uncharacterized. The record is from RefSeq and is a predicted model, not a curated record. Lineage: Eukaryota; Metazoa; Chordata; Actinopteri; Acipenseriformes; Acipenseridae. The transcript is spliced from 3 exons.